RNAcentral lists this ribosomal RNA (443 nucleotides) under uncultured bacterium. RNAcentral's name for it is "partial 16S ribosomal RNA". It matches the Rfam family "Bacterial small subunit ribosomal RNA", at positions 338 to 795 of the family's 1533-position model. The record is from RNAcentral.
CCUACGGGGGGCAGCAGUGGGGAAUAUUGGGCAAUGGGCGCAAGCCUGACCCAGCAACGCCGCGUGAAGGAAGAAGGCUUUCGGGUUGUAAACUUCUUUUCUCAGGGACGAAGAAAGUGACGGUACCUGAGGAAUAAGCCACGGCUAACUACGUGCCAGCAGCCGCGGGAAUACGUAGGUGGCAAGCGUUAUCCGGAUUUACUGGGUGUAAAGGGAGCGGAGACGGCAGCGCAAGUCUGGAGUGAAAUCCCAUGGCUUAACAAUGGAACUGCUUUGGAAACUGGGCAGCUGGAGUGCAGGAGAGGUAAGCGGAAUGCCUGGUGUAGCGGGUAAAUGCGUAGAUAUUAGGAGGAACACCAGUGGCGAAGGCGGCUUACUGGACUGUAACUGACGUUGAGGCACGAAAGCGUGGGGAGCAAACAGGAUUAGAUACCCGAGUAGUC